RNAcentral lists this ribosomal RNA (596 nucleotides) under uncultured bacterium. Its description in RNAcentral is "bacterial SSU rRNA". It matches the Rfam family "Bacterial small subunit ribosomal RNA", at positions 158 to 749 of the family's 1533-position model. The record is from RNAcentral.
GGACGCUAAUACCGCAUACGUCCUACGGGAGAAAGCAGGGGACCUUCGGGCCUUGCGCUAUCAGAUGAGCCUAGGUCGGAUUAGCUAGUUGGUGAGGUAAUGGCUCACCAAGGCGACGAUCCGUAACUGGUCUGAGAGGAUGAUCAGUCACACUGGAACUGAGACACGGUCCAGACUCCUACGGGAGGCAGCAGUGGGGAAUAUUGGACAAUGGGCGAAAGCCUGAUCCAGCCAUGCCGCGUGUGUGAAGAAGGUCUUCGGAUUGUAAAGCACUUUAAGUUGGGAGGAAGGGCAGUAAAUUAAUACUUUGCUGUUUUGACGUUACCGACAGAAUAAGCACCGGCUAACUCUGUGCCAGCAGCCGCGGUAAUACAGAGGGUGCAAGCGCUAAUCGGAAUUACUGGGCGUAAAGCGCGCGUAGGUGGUUUGUUAAGUUGGAUGUGAAAUCCCCGGGCUCAACCUGGGAACUGCAUUCAAAACUGACUGACUAGAGUAUGGUAGAGGGUGGUGGAAUUUCCUGUGUAGCGGUGAAAUGCGUAGAUAUAGGAAGGAACACCAGUGGCGAAGGCGACCACCUGGACUAAUACUGACACUGA